RNAcentral lists this non-coding RNA (24 nucleotides) under Arabidopsis thaliana (thale cress). The record is from RNAcentral. Lineage: Eukaryota; Viridiplantae; Streptophyta; Magnoliopsida; Brassicales; Brassicaceae.
UCUGGUCUCUGAGUGAGCUCCUUG